GUUAACACCCCUUCCCCUGCUA
This 22-nucleotide transfer RNA is filed under the name Bleda syndactylus (Common bristlebill). RNAcentral describes it as "partial tRNA-Met". Lineage: Eukaryota; Metazoa; Chordata; Aves; Passeriformes; Pycnonotidae. The record is from RNAcentral.